AGACGAAAUCUGUACGGCUUGCUUGCUCAUCUCCCAAGUAGCACGGGGCCCGAGAAAUCCCGUGUGAAUCUGGCGGGACCACCCGCUAAGCCUAAAUAUUCCCUAGUGACCGAUAGCGGAUAGUACCGUGAGGGAAUGGUGAAAAGUACCGCGGGAGCGGAGUGAAAUAGUACCUGAAACCGUGUGCCUACAAGCCGUGGGAGCGUCGU
This 209-nucleotide ribosomal RNA is filed under the name Streptomyces rubellomurinus subsp. indigoferus. RNAcentral describes it as "partial 23S ribosomal RNA". It matches the Rfam family "Bacterial large subunit ribosomal RNA", at positions 377 to 585 of the family's 2925-position model. Lineage: Bacteria; Bacillati; Actinomycetota; Actinomycetes; Kitasatosporales; Streptomycetaceae. The record is from RNAcentral.